Molecule: ribosomal RNA, 246 nt
Filed under: uncultured bacterium
Lineage: Bacteria
Description: partial 16S ribosomal RNA
Rfam family: Bacterial small subunit ribosomal RNA
Source: RNAcentral
CAACACGUGGGUAACCUGCCUUAUAGUGGGGGAUAGCCUUUCGAAAGGAAGAUUAAUACCGCAUAAGAUUGUAGUAUCGCAUGAUAUAGCAAUUAAAGGAGCAAUUCGCUAUAAGAUGGACCCGCGUCGCAUUAGCUAGUUGGUGAGGUAAUGGCUCACCAAGGCGACGAUGCGUAGCCGACCUGAGAGGGUGAUCGGCCACAUUGGGACUGAGACACGGCCCAGACUCCUACGGGAGGCAGCAUG